GCGGGGAUGGCGGAAUUGGUAGACGCGCUAGCUUGAGGUGCUAGUGGUGAGAGCCGUGGCCGUUCAAGUCGGCUUCUCCGCA
RNAcentral lists this transfer RNA (82 nucleotides) under Treponema sp. Its description in RNAcentral is "tRNA-Leu". It matches the Rfam family "tRNA". From Rfam's summary of the family: Transfer RNA (tRNA) molecules are approximately 80 nucleotides in length. Their secondary structure includes four short double-helical elements and three loops (D, anti-codon, and T loops). Further hydrogen bonds mediate the characteristic L-shaped molecular structure. tRNAs have two regions of fundamental functional importance: the anti-codon, which is responsible for specific mRNA codon recognition, and the 3' end, to which the tRNAs corresponding amino acid is attached (by aminoacyl-tRNA synthetases). tRNAs cope with the degeneracy of the genetic code in two manners: having more than one tRNA (with a specific anti-codon) for a particular amino acid; and 'wobble' base-pairing, i.e. permitting non-standard base-pairing at the 3rd anti-codon position. The record is from RNAcentral. Lineage: Bacteria; Pseudomonadati; Spirochaetota; Spirochaetia; Treponematales; Treponemataceae. RNAcentral also lists the same sequence under 1 other name.